Molecule: ribosomal RNA, 390 nt
Filed under: Triticum aestivum (bread wheat)
Lineage: Eukaryota; Viridiplantae; Streptophyta; Magnoliopsida; Poales; Poaceae
Description: partial small subunit ribosomal RNA
Source: RNAcentral
AUGCAGGUGAUGAUGAAGAUGAACACGACGCCAGAAGACGCAGGGGUGCUUCCCCGGCCGGCGACGGAGAAGAGGAGGCUGUGGGGAUUCUCGCGCCACCUUGGCAGCGGGUCCCCGGAGGAUGACCGGUGGGAUGCACACAAGAGCUCCGGCUCCUCCGCCGGAGAGCGCUGGGACGCGCCCCGGCACAAGCUCAUGCAGGUGAUGAUGAAGAUGAACACGACGCAGGGGUGCUUCCCCGGCCGGCGACGGAGAAGAGGAAGCUGUGGGGAUUCUCGCGCCACCUCGGCAGCGGAUCCCCGGAGGAUGACCGGUGGGAUGCAUCCAAGAGCUCCGGCUCCUCCGCCGGAGAGCGCUGGGACGCGCCCCGGCACAAGCUCAUGCAGGUGA